Molecule: ribosomal RNA, 316 nt
Filed under: uncultured bacterium
Lineage: Bacteria
Description: bacterial SSU rRNA
Rfam family: Bacterial small subunit ribosomal RNA
Source: RNAcentral
GACGAACGCUGGCGGCAUGCCUAACACAUGCAAGUCGAACGGAGAUUAUUUCGGUAAUCUUAGUGGCGAACGGGUGAGUAACGCGUAGGCAACCUGCCCUUUAGUUGGGGACAACAUUCCGAAAGGGGUGCUAAUACCGAAUGUGACAGUUUUCCGCAUGGGAUUACUGUGAAAGAUGGCCUCUAUUUAUAAGCUAUCGCUAAAGGAUGGGCCUGCGUCUGAUUAGCUAGUUGGUGGGGUAACGGCCUACCAAGGCGACGAUCAGUAGCCGGUCUGAGAGGAUGAACGGCCACAUUGGGACUGAGAUACGGCCCAG